Molecule: long non-coding RNA, 8793 nt
Organism: Neofelis nebulosa (Clouded leopard)
Lineage: Eukaryota; Metazoa; Chordata; Mammalia; Carnivora; Felidae
Exons: 2
Source: RefSeq, a predicted model, not a curated record
CUCUCUCUCUCUCUCUCAAAAAUAAAUACACAUUUUAAAAGCUUUUUGUUUUUUAAACAAAGAUGUUGUUUUAUUUCUACAUGGAAACCUCUUUUUACAUUUCUUCAGUUCGUUUUCAUCCAGUGUUCUCUGUUACCACCAUUUUUUUUUUUUUAAAGACUUCUUUACUGUUAUUUUUUUAGAGCAGUUUUGGGUUCACAGCAUAAUGGGGAGGAAAGCAUAGAGAGUUCCUAUCUACUCCCUCCCCACCCACAGGCACCUCUACCUCCCCCACCACAGUGGCACUUUUGUUAUAAUUGAUGGACCUCCAUUGACACAUCAUUAUCACCCAAAGUCCAGAGUUUACAUGGAGAUUCCCUCUUGGUGUUGUACAUUCUAUGGGUUUGGACAAAUGUACCAUGGCAUCUAUCCACCAUUAUACUGUCGUGCAAAUUUUUUUCACUACCCUAAAACUCCUCUGUGCUCUGCCUAUUCAUCGCUCCCUCCUCCCUAACCCCUGGAAACCACUGAUCUUCUCUCUCUCUCUCUCUCUCUCUCCCUCUUUUUAAGAGAGAGAAGGGGUGGGGAGAGGCAGAGAACGAGGGAGAGAGAAUCCUAAGCAGGCUCCACGAUGUCAGUGCAGAGCCCAACUCAGGGUUCGAUCUGAUGACCGUGAGAUCAUGACCUGAGCCGAAACCCAGAGGCAGACGCUUAACUGACUGAGCCACUCGUGUGCUCCAACCACCGGUCUUUUUAUUGUCUCUGGAGUUUUGCCUUUUCCAGAAUGUCACGACUAUAAUUUUCUUUAAAUUAUGAAAUAAUAAGAUAAGCUGCUUUCAGUGUAUUCAAGUGACAGAAUUCCUCCUCCAGUUCACACAGGAAUACGGCUUUCGUGCAUCUUUAGAGCAGAACUGAAUAAAUAAUGAUGUGCGUGUCGUGGCCAAAAACGGCAGAGUAAUCACAGAGCAUGUAUGUGUGCUCUGUUCCAUGCUGCCUCAUACCGAAGUACUUUUAAAAACACUGUUUCUUAGAGCCAGUAUUGAGAACAUUUUAUCAUAUACACAGAGUGUGGUCAAGUGGCUGUUUCAAAGAGACCCCUGACCAUGCCCAGUCAGUCCUAUCAGAAAGGAAGAAGCCCAACGCUCUUAAAGCGCAUAAAUAAAUCAAGCCCCAGCUUCAUAGUCCAAGGUCCUCUAAGACUCCUGAGGAAUAUGCACAUUUAGACAGAUCGCAAGAACACGUGGUUGUCCCAAACUAGCUUCUGAGAGGCAGACUGUGCAGAGGAGGCCUCCCGGAGCCCAGGCCCUGCAGAGGCUUGGCUUGGGGGCACAUACCCUGGGAGAGGCUUGCAUGACUCCAGCCACUCAUGCUCUCCAGCUGCCAUGAGAGGUCAGGCUCGUCUCGGGAAGGGGAGCCAAGAAUAGUUAGAUGCCGUUCCACUGGGAGCCCAGGUCCCCAGAGAGGGCUAUUCUGGGAGGGAAUGCAUAGUUUACAGCAUCCAGGUCAUGGGGGCUGGAGCGCUAGUUGAUCAUACCCCCAGUGCCAGGGCAGGGGCUGCGUCCUGUGUGUUCAACUACCCUUAGCAUCUCCUCCAGCAUCUAGUCCACAAUAGGCUUGCAGUGGAUGCCUUCUGAGUAAAUAAACAGCAUUUUAGCUAAUCCCCGAAUACCAGAUAUCCUCUAAAUGCUCAAAAUCUUUCUUUGUCUGGAGUUCUUAAUAUAGUCAGUCACAGAGACUGCUUCUGUGUUCUAGCUGUCAGCAAAAUUGGUCCUAUUAUUACUGUGGCUGUGUAUCAUUUCACCUGGCACAGAGCUGGCACACUGUGGACCUUUAAUUCAGCUCAGAUAACAACUGCAGGAAGCAGUGUGCCUGCUAAUGUGUACGGAAGGACGUGCUCAGGGCGGUGGCUUCUCCAUGUGUGCGCUUUUUUUUUCCAAGUAGGAUUUUUAAAUUCAAAACAUAUGUCUUGAAUUAGAAACUUAAUAAAUAACAUUACUUCUCUUUCUUUCUCGGUCAUCUGUAAGAAUAAUGCCCUGAGAUUAUUUUCUUCUGGAAUAGUUACCGUAUUGCUAUUUGGGUUAAACCCAUAUAAGUUAUUUUGUCCUUUUUGUAGGUGAUUCAAUAAAUAGAUCAUGGGACAUUAACCAUGGAGAGCUCUUUGGAUUGCACAUGGGAGUGCAAUUACAUUCACAAUUAUGAGAACAUAAGUAGGCGUGUGUAAAUUGUAGUAGCUUUUACCAUAAUUUUUGAGCAAUUACAGCCCUAUUGCAUUUUGCUGAGAAUGUUUCAUUUUGCUUCUUGAUUCAGAUACACUAAAUGGGCUUCCUUAGACCAGAGAUUGGCAAACCGUUUCUGAAAGGCCUGGUGGUAAAUAUUUUAUGGUUUGCAGGCCAUGUGGUCUCUGUUGCUUGAGAGCAGACGUAGAUAAUCCAUAAUGAAUAGCUGUGGCUGUGUUCCAAUAAAACUUUAUUUAUGGUCACUGAUAUUGGGAUUUCAUAUAAUUUGCAUGUGUCAUGAAAUAUCAUUCUUCCUUUGACUUUUUUUUUUAACCAUUUAAAAGCUGUCAAGUCAUUUUUAGCUCAUGGACUAUACACAAACAAAUGGCAGGGCACAUUGGGCCUAUUGGCCAUAGUUGGUUGACGCCCGCCUUAGACUCUCUCAACAUCACUAUCCAAUGCCUCUCAUUCACUCGCUUUUCCUCAGUGGCUGACUGAUUCCAUUCAGAUCUGUCCAUGGUGAGUUCUACCACCUGGGGCCAAGCACCUACUUGCACUGCCCUUGGCUACUACUGUAGAGCUAGCCUCACCAGUCACACACCUGGAACUCUUGUCUCCUCCUCCCAUUUUUAGAAUAGGGUUAAAAAACCUGCACUUCAGAGAAUAAAUCUGGCAUGAUAGAAGCCAUGGAAGGGACCAGAUCAUAUAACUCAGAAGCAUAGAGAGGUUAACUUCCAAUGGGACAAACUUGGACCAGUGGGACCCAGUAGGUGGGAAAGAGCCAAUCCCUCUCUUUCUUCCACCUGUGAUAACACAGUUUCUUAUACAAAUUGACCUGUGACAUCUCACAGGGCUGAGGGUUUGCACCUGCCAAGGUCAGUGCUAUGCCCAGCGACAUGAUACAUCUCCUAGCAGCUGAUUCCUGUGAUUUCCUCUCUCACUUUCCUCUUUCUGUACUCUUGUUGCCCUAGGUUUGCACCUGUCAAAUAAAGCGUCAGCACUUAAUCCUUGCCUCAGGCUCUAAUCUCUAGGGAACACAGCUAAGACAUUCUUAAGAAUAUAUAUAAACAUUUACUAAAAGUUUCCCAGUCAAAAAGAAAAAUGUCUACCAGUGUGUUCAAAAUACAUGGUAAGGAUUGCAAAUUAAGCAAGGGCCAGGUAGCUAACAUAAAUGCACUAGACAGUCAGGGGUGGUGGUAAACUGGAGACCCACGUUUCAUAUAAAGAGGGGAAAUAAAAUUUGGCUUUGGUCAUGACAAUGCCACACAGGAAAGAGGGCUCAGUAGUCUCAGAUCUUUCUAUUUUUCAAGACUAACUGUCAGGCAUUUUUGUGUGAAUUUUCCUUAUUUUUAUUUUAUUGUUUUAAGUUAAUUUAUUUAUUUUGAGAGAGGGGGAGGAGAGAAUGUGAGAGAGGGAGGGGCAGAGAGAGAGAAAGAGAGAGAGAAUCCCAAGCAGGCUCCUUGCUGUCAGCACAGAGCCUGAUGCAGGGCUGGAACUCAUGAACCAUGAGAUCCUGACCUGAGCUGAAACCAAGAGUUGAGUACUAAACUGACUGAGCCACCCAGGUGCCCCAUUUUUUCUUAUUUUUAAAUGUUGGAAACUGAUUUUAAAACUAUUAGUUCCAGGUAGGGUUAAGCAUAUCUAUCUGUGGGUUGGAACUGGUUUGGGUAACCUCUAGUGGAUAAUCUAGGGAGGGAGAUUGGAAGGAUUAUAAAAUGUAGAAGCAGCCAUCAAGGAGAAUUGGGAGGGUGUCACUGAGUAAAAGGUGUGUCCCAGUAGGUGACUUUUUGCUUGUCAGCUCCCCAGACAAAUGAACAAAGCGCCCAAGUAUUCACAUUUUGGGGCUCUGUCCUGUUUCUUGAGCCGUAAGGACUUGACCUCUGAUUUUUGGAAAGAGCAUGUACUAGCAGUCCUGGGAUGGUAUUUAUGAUAUGGAUUAAGACAGGAAAUGACUGUUGACAUCAUCUCUUUUCAGCCUCAUGCCCAGUGUUUGCCUCUUCUUGGUGACAUCCCCAGAAAGGAGGAGCCUGACUUCCUUGAAGACCGCUGCUCAAAACCUCUCAAAGCAUUUUAUUUCAUGUUUACAUUUUUUGGGAUAUCAAUACUAUAUUCAGAAUACACUUAUUUCCUCUACCUUUAACUCUUUCACUUUAUAAUUCAUCCCCAGGCAAUUCAUUUCAAAUUUGCCCUAUUCUAUGUAGGAGCUCUUUAUAUUGAAAACAGUUAUUCUGUCUCAUAAAAUCUCUCUUCUUUAGGUUGAAACCAUUCAGCUUUUUCAGCCAUUCUUCCCGAGGCACUAUUUUAAGUCUUUUCACUAUUUUGGUAAUCUUCACUGAACAUUCUGCUGAUUGCCUGAAUCUUUUAGGACCUAGAACCAUAAAUGGAAUAAAUAUUAUAGAAGGGACCUGAUUAAUUUACAGUAAAAUUAAAUGAUAAAUUUCCACAUACAGGAUACUAAAUCUUUAUUAAUUUAGUCUAACCCUACAUUUGUUUUUCAGGCCUUCAUGCUGCUGUUACCUGUUGUACCCAAUAGCACAGGAAUUAAUUGCUUGUAUUGUUUUAAAUUUGUACAUUAUUUAAAUUUUGCUUCAGACUAGCUCUGUUUUAUAUUUUGAGUCAUAUUUUUCCUCUGUUCUGCUUUCAUCAUCUGUUUUUAUUUUAUUUUAUUUUGUUUUGUUUUGUUUUGUUUUGUUUUGUUUUAUUUUGUUAUGUUAUUUUAUUUUAUUGUACUUAUUUUGCAAGCUCCCUCAAAGACUUUUGGAAAUGAAAUGGAGUAUAAACAAGUAACAUAUGAAACACUGUAGCCAAUCAUUCUUAUUUCUCAAAGUUACAGAGAGCAAUGUUAUUUUCUUCAAGCCAGCCUGGAUUAAAGGUUCACAUUUCAGUAUUCCUGUGGCACCCUAUCAAUUCAUAUUUAUUUACAGAAAUGAGUCCCAUGGAGAUGUUUGCUAGUGAACAUGUUGUUUUUCUAACUUUCUGUGUGUGUAUAUACACUCAUAUGUGUGUUUAUAAAUAUAUAGAGGUCUAUACAUAUUAAAUGAACAUGCAUUCCUUGCAACAUUAUCUAAUCCAGAAUUCUCAAGGUUUUCAGCUGUCAGUUUCAUUGCUUUAGAAUAGAGUUUAUUGCCAUCUGCUCCUGUCCCAUUCUUCAACUCUGUAAUUAUGUUUUCAUGAGUUAAUUUUAUCCGAAAGCUCAAGGGCUCCAUUUUGCCUUAUAUCAAAUCAUCUGGUAAAUAACCAGGUCAAGCCCAGCACCAAGAACACUGGUAAAUUCUCUUCUGGAAUUUAGAUGGUGUCGGGCAGAGUCUGACCAGAGAAGAAGAACCACUAGGAGUGAUAUAGAAUAAACUGUCUUUUUACAGAAAUUUAACCAUUCACAGUUAUGGGAGGAGGUUAAGAGGUUACUGGAAGCUGUUGUUUCUAACACUGCGGCCGGAGUCUGAAGCCAGUGAGGCGGGCAGUCAAGAAGGAAAGACAGACGUGAAGCAGGAGAGGGGGAAAAAAGACAAACAAAUGCAAGAGGAUGAGUUGGAAUCUCCAACGACAAACUGAAGGGCCCAGCAGCCUGUGUCUCGAGCCUCCAGCUUCAAUGAUGUGAACAACCCACCGGAGAAACCUGCGCUUCCUCGCAGUGCUAAGCACGCAUUGGCUUGGGAGCUGGGAAGCUAAAAGGGGCUGUGUUUGGGGACCUGAAGGGCCCGUGUGCCUGGCUUCUGCCCAAACCCACUUGUAUAUGUGCUGACCUUCAGAGCUUUAAAAGAAUAUGGUUUAUGCUUAAUUUCCAAAUGCCACUAUAUGUAUUUCUUGUGGCCCAUGCUAACAUGGAAUUAUGCAAUGGAAACAAUCCUGAUAAACACAGUUCCUGCUCAGUUCAAUUGACACAGCAUCAAUGUGCCACAUAGAUUAUCCACCCAAGCCCAUUUCUCCCUAGAGACAGUCUGAAUUAAGAGUCUUAGAGUUUUGUCUUAUUUAUUUAUUUUUUCCCCAUCCUAAAUCCUUGUCAGGUUCUUCUGGCCCAAUUCCCAGCUGUGUCCUGGGGAGGACAGGCAUGGUGGCUUCUUCCUGAGCACCGCAGUCCCAAGUUCAGAAAGAGAUCAUGUUGCGGAGGAUGGGAGAAAGCCCUGGCGGGAUCACAGCCUUUCCCAGAUUGGGUUGUUUCUGCCCCCCCUUGCGGUUGGGGCUGCCGCCUGGUUCUCAUGGCAGUUCCCAAGUAAACAGCCCUUACUUCCUGGCUUUCUCUACUCAGGGUGGCAGGGGGAUGUGUCCACCUCUGUAGCAGCCUUCCUGUGUUGACAACACUGUUUGUUCUUCCCGUCUCCCCAGGGAGAAGCUGCCUUAUCUUUUCUGUGCAACAUAUUUGGGAAAAACACAUUUUUCUCUCUUAAAGGAAUUGAUUAUUGUUUCUUAAGACUAAAAAGAAAAGCCUUUCUGGAUCCAAACACUGACUUAAAAAGAUAACCUAAAUUCCACUUACAGAGCAAGAGAAAAAUUUGUACUAGUGGUGACUGGUGGUACAUUUUGGAUCAUUCUGUGCACUUAAAUUAUACUGUGUGUGUGUGUGUGUGUGUGUGUGUGUGUGUGUGAGAGAGAGAGAGAGAGAGAGAGAGAGAGAGAGAGAGAGAGAGAAUCUGAAAUAUUUUUCAAACACAAGACCUACAGUUUUUGGUUUAAAUAAACUGGGAAUUUGUAGGUGUUCGUUGAGGUGUUUGUAACGAUAACCUUUGUGAGACAGAAGUUUAAAAAAUAUAUUUAAUAUAAACAUAUGUUAAAAUAUGUACAUUUGCAAUUACAAGAAAAUUCAUCACUACCUUUGUGUUUCAACUGUUUUUUUUUUUUUUCAGGUGGAUUCCCAUCUUUCAUUUAUUACAGAGAGCUACAGGAAUUUCCUCUCCACAAUAGGAUUCUAUGUACAGGACUAUUGCAUGGGAGUCACGUGGAGCUGUGAUGAUGGCACUAAGAAAAAUCCGGAAUUAAAAAAACUCACCUGGAUCUAAUGAACUACACUGCCACCUGCUAGGCUGUGACAUUGGGAAAAAUACUCAACCUCUCUGGUGUCGAUUUCAUCAUGAUAAAAUGGGAAUAAUGAUCAAUCUAAUGUCAUGAAGUUGUUGGGAGAAUUCAGUGAUUCGAAUUAUAUAGGGCAAUUAGCUACUGUAACACCUGCCCCAUUGGAACUGCUUAGUACGGGACAAGAAUUACCGUUACUACUUUCAAGAGACCAAAUGAAUAUUUUCUUCCUUAAUAAAAUGGUAACCUCUAAGCUAUCCAGAGGUUUUAGUCAGGGAAGAGAUAUGUGUUAUGUCAUUUGUAAUUUUUUAUCACAGUAUCAUUACCUGUCUAUUCAGCAUAUAAUAUGUGUAUGUAUACGUAUACUUAUGUGCACCUGUAUAUGUAUGUGUGUGUAUUGUUAUUGCUGCGAUGCUUGUACCCGCCAACCCCAAAUUCAAUUCUUUGGGGAAAUCCUAACCCCAAAGAUGAUGAUAUUUGUAGGCAAAGCCUGUUGGGUGAUUAGGUCAUGAGUGGGGAACCCUCACAAAUGGGAUUAGUGCUAAAGAGACCCCACAGAGUUCCCUAGCCUCUUGAAUCUUCCAGGAUACUACAAGAAGUCUACAACACAGAAGCCGGCUUUUUGACCUCCGACUUCCAGCCUCCAAAACUGUGAGCAAUACAGUUGUUGUUUAUAAGCUGCCCGGUCUGUGGUAUUGUUAUAUACAUCGCAUAUUUCUAUAGCAGCCUGAAUGGACUCACAUAUAUGCAUAUGCGGAUAGGUACUUAGGUAGCUAGCUAGCUAGCUAGUCAGACAGGUAGAUAGAUAUCCAUGUAACUAACACUCCGAUCAAGAUAUGGAAUAUUGCCAUCACCCCAAAACGUCCCUGUGUAUUUCUUUCCAGUCUGUCAUCCUCUCCUCUGGAGUCAAACCCUAUUCUGACUUUUAUCCCUGUGAACCAGUUUGUCUGUUCUUGAACUUCCAUAGAGAUGGACUCAUACAGAAAACACUUUUUGCUUUUGGCUUUUUUAGUUCUAUGUAGUGUUUUUGAGAUUCGUCCAUGUUGUUGCAGGCAUUAGUCAUCUGUUUUUUUUCAUUCCUGGACUAUUCCAUUGUGUGAAUAUAACACGUUGUCUCUUGUUCAUGGGCAUUUGCGUUAUUUCCAGUGUUGUUUGUAAUUUGAAGUGCUUCAGUUGAAAUGGCAUGGUAUAUAUACUUUUGCAUUAGAUGACUUUAUUCUACAUCUUAGGAUAUGUCACAUUUUAUAGGCCUUUCCAAGCUUAAAUGAAUAGGGUAUAAGAAUCCAUUAAACCUAGAUUGUAUGCUUCAGAAUGGAACUUUAGAUUCUAAAGGAAAGAUAGAUGAUAGAUAGAUAGAUAGAUAGAUAGAUAGACAGAGGUGUAGAUAGAUUCCAAAAUAGCCCAUUUACAGUUGUAGAUUCCUAGGUUUUUUGUUUGCCUGACUCCUGCCAGUGAAAUAUUGUUACAUUUAUCCUAAGGGGAUCUUGCUGUCAGACCACUUAGGACAGUGGGCUGAUGCUUUUUGAGUUUACUCAUUAGUUUAUAAACUGUUACACCUGUUUGAUAAUAAAUGUUUAUAUGUGUGAAAGAA